ACCCAGACAAGUUACUUAUCAGCUUAUAGACGUUUUUAUAUAAAUAAAUAAUAAAUAUUCCAUAAUGUGUAGCUGCAUAUUGCACGUGUGUUGUAUAUAUAAACUGAUAUGCCUUCCAUUGUUUCUGUUGUUUUGGUUUAUGAUAUACAUGUUUGGUUGGAUUGAAUUUCCUAGGUACGAGUUUAAUUGGCACGCGAACAGGUGGCAGCAUUAAUACGAGCUACUUUCCGACCUUAUGUAUAUGUAAGAUAAUAUGCGGCACUAUCUUUUUGGUUAUCUGCGUGGCAUGUUGCAUGUUGGUUGUGACUUAUAAAAACAAUUAGUACACAAUUUAUGUCAGUUGGUUAUAUCAUAAAACCGUCUACCGAAAAUGAAGUCCCGGAUACAACGUCAAGUUCUUAAGAAGGCUAAAUGUGGAACCACUUCAAAUAAUAUUGAAACUGCUGCGACUCCCGUCAUCUAAGAAGCAAAAAUAAAAUAAAGUUGCUUCCUAGUUAAAUGCGUGUGUUUUUUUGCCUUAAUAGGCUGUCCCCUGACUAUGGUUGUUCUCGUGUUUGUAUAUAUCGCCUAUUUGCUGGAAGAUUGGCACUGAAGAUUACUGCAUAGCUAAGAGGAGAGAUAUCAUAUUACAAUGAAUAUAUUUCAAACCAGCUUACGCGUCUAAACUGCAUGGGUAAUGCAGUUUAUGAGUAGGAGUUCCGUUUUGACUUGAAACUAGCUUUUCCCAGUCAUUUCACGCUUGCUGCUGCUCAUUCUAAGCCAAAAGUGUAUUUAGAUAAUAAUAAAUGUGGAUUGUGGACCUUAAAGACAAAGUAACGUAAAAGCAUAAUAUACCUAUCGUAUAAGCUUGUCUUAAAAAUAACGAACACGGCAAAUAAAUAUUGAAUUGUAUUUUUAUGUUUAAUCUUAUCGCUAAGUCGAAUUUUCUUUUUUUAACACCUUAAUACAAAUGGUCAUAAGUGGCUAUCCAUUGUACAAUGUGCACCUCUGCCUACAUCUUCGGGGAUAAAAGGCAUGACGAUAC
Long non-coding RNA from Spodoptera frugiperda (fall armyworm), 1024 nucleotides. RefSeq lists it as uncharacterized. Lineage: Eukaryota; Metazoa; Arthropoda; Insecta; Lepidoptera; Noctuidae. The record is from RefSeq and is a predicted model, not a curated record. The transcript has 6 exons.